Molecule: long non-coding RNA, 425 nt
Filed under: Nicotiana benthamiana
Lineage: Eukaryota; Viridiplantae; Streptophyta; Magnoliopsida; Solanales; Solanaceae
Description: long non-coding RNA (NBEN_LNC019189)
Source: RNAcentral
UGUCUUGUAGGUGACUCAGCAUCUAUGGUAGUUCAUGGGCAUGACACCACUUUGCCUAUUACACUUGAUGAGAUGCUUGUUCAUUGUAGAGCUGUUGCUAGAGGUGCUAAAAGGCCUCUUCUUGUUGGUGAUUUACCUUUUGGUACGUAUGAGUCUAGUACUAAACAGGUAAUUUUUUAAAAUUUUGUGCAAUUCUUUUUAAUUCUUGAUAAGUUCGAAUAGCUUAAAUUUGGAUUCCUAAUAGGCUAUUACCCUUGUUGGUGAUUUACCUUUUGGUACUUAUGAGUCUAGCACUAAACAGGUAAAAAAUUUAACUUUUGUGCAGUUCCUUUUACACCAUCAUGUUAAAUUGACCUUUGAUUAUGGAUAAUUCUGUAACUUUUCUUAGCAGUCUGAUAUGGUACAGUAUAGAAAAUUGCACUGAC